Molecule: long non-coding RNA, 456 nt
Organism: Nicotiana tabacum (common tobacco)
Lineage: Eukaryota; Viridiplantae; Streptophyta; Magnoliopsida; Solanales; Solanaceae
Source: RefSeq, a predicted model, not a curated record
AGCCGAUUAGGGAAUUAGAAUUUAGAAAGGGAGAAAGACAGAACGUCAGAAACGACGAUAGUUUCUUUCAGCGAGAAGACCUUUGCUAUAUCCUGUUGAUGAAGCUGCCACUGUGGCUAUAUCUACUGUCAAAGAAUUUGGCAGUGACCUCAAAGAGAUCCAGGUGUGUACGGUUCUGGCGGUCGCUGAGUUCGUGCGUGUGCUGAUUAUCGGAGACUUACGAGGUAGCUGCCGGCGUCCGCAAUCCUUGUUUCUCCUUUCUUAUUAUCUUUUCUCUCUUGUAUUGGCAUUUGGCACAGACUGUAGUAGACUCUGUUUCUAUAUUGGUUAUUAGAUACACAUGACUUAGGGAUACCUCGAUGUCGGGCUAUCAUUCCGCACUUAUGUUUUGGGGGUUUUCCCGGUUAUUGUGUAAACCUUCAGUUAGUUUAAUUUCUUUAGCUCACUUCUGUUAUA